CAGUACGUUCGUAAACUAUAACCACUGCAUGUGUGACAUACAUUUCGAUCAAGUUUCAAUCCUGUUACAAAGCCUUUGUCAACAGUGAGCGAGUGGGGAAAAAGCCCAAAGGCUCUGUGGAAUGAAGGAAAUCACUGGACGGGCUUAUCUUGGAAGACCGGAAUUCGUGCUGAGAGAUUGAACCAGGGGCCUUGUGCAUGCUAGGCAGGCACUCUGUCACUGAGAUACAUCCCCAGCCAGCCCUGCAAUUCCGUGAUCAGAGGGAAUAAAAGCAUAUUAUAAGAUUUCUUCCUUGCCCAAGAUACAGUUGAAAAAAACGUGUUUCAGAUGAGUCAUUUAAGCGGAAUAAUUUUCCUUUGGAUUACUAGAGUCACAGAAGGAAAAAAAAAAGCAUGAUGUCUCUUCCUCUUUAGCAGCCAAUGGCAGGCUCAUCAGCAGGGAACAGUGUCAGCCCAAGCCCCUUGUGCUUGUGUAUCAUCAUUCUGAGCCAGGAACAAACGUGCCUGCAAAGAGCCCUCUUCCUCCUUUCCAUCAUCAUCCUGACAUUUUAACAACCACAAUCAUAACAGAAGUUAUUAACUACGAUCAAAGCUGCCUGUGCACAAUACAAAGGAUCAGGUGAACCACAGAAACAGAAGAGCAUGGUGUUCGUGACCUUUGCCAGAACCAGCGAGUAGAUCGUGACACUCAUUUGGAACAGCAGUGCCCUGCAUGGAGGUCUCAAGCAUUGUUUCUUUGGCGAAGGAGACGUUUCUGAAAAAUGUAAAGCCAGCAUUUCUACCAUUCACCUGUCUUGUUAUUUUGUAUAUUGCUGUAGAUGCUCUGCUAGGGAAAUUUGAUCAAUAUAAUAGAUUCCUAGCAGGAAGAUGCUAUAGGACAAUUUGUGUAUGCUUGACAUAGCUCAAUUUCCAUCCAUCCAAGAAGAUAUUGAUUUUUCUCGCACGGAAGUGCACACACACAUACUAAGAGCGCUUACAGAGAAUGGGGGUUGGGCAGGCACUUAUUCAAGAACAGAUAGCUCUGCCAUAUCCAACUGCAUUCAAAAUACCUUCCGGCUUGCUGACCUAAUAUUUGGAUGAUCUAUAUAAAUUCCUCACAUCAGGUGUAAAUCAGUGACUGAUAAGCAAAAAUAGUAUUCACAUGCUUUUUUUCUUUCAGUACUAGUGGUUGAACAAAGGGCCUUUGCACUGAGCUGUAUCUCUGAUUCUUUUUUAAAAUUUAUUUUGUAUUUUGAGGCAGGGUCUCUAAUUGGCUAAGUGGUCCAGCUGGACUCAAACUUGUAAUCCUCUUGCCUCAGCCUCUUUGGAUGCUAAGAACCCUUUUAGGUUCACAAACAUUUUAGAAAAUGUGACUGUUCUUUUACUUCAUAUGAAAUGUCUUCCUGAAGUUAUAUUUUCCUAACCCAAUAUAGAAUUAAUUUUACAGUACUGGAUCACAACUUGCUUGUCUCAUACCUGAAAAUAUAAUAAAAUUUCCUGUGGGCCUCUGUUA
Long non-coding RNA from Cavia porcellus (domestic guinea pig), 1491 nucleotides. RefSeq lists it as uncharacterized. The record is from RefSeq and is a predicted model, not a curated record. NCBI's taxonomy places the organism in Eukaryota, Metazoa, Chordata, Mammalia, Rodentia, Caviidae. The transcript is spliced from 5 exons.